GUCGGCGAGACCAAAAAAGGAAGAUGAGGGGAGGCGGCGCCGCCGCCGCCGCUGGAGAGGAGAGGAAGAAGGAAGGAAGAAGAAAUAGGAAGAAGAAGAGGGGAGGCGGCGUCGCCGCCGCCACUGGAGAGGAGAGGAAGAAGGAGAGAAGAAAAGGAGGAAGAAGGAAAUGAGAAGGUAGCGCUGGAGGAGAAGAAGAAGAAAAAUAGGGAGGACGAAGAGCGGCAACGACGCCGCCGCCGCCGCCGGCGGUGGAGGAAGAGAGGUGUAGAGAGAAGGGAGAGGAAAGGAGUGAUAGAGAGAGGUAGU
Molecule: long non-coding RNA, 309 nt
Filed under: Linum usitatissimum (flax)
Lineage: Eukaryota; Viridiplantae; Streptophyta; Magnoliopsida; Malpighiales; Linaceae
Description: long non-coding RNA (LUSI_LNC007233)
Source: RNAcentral